UGCGACAAAUUUACAUGUCACGGCUGAGUUAUAUGCUUAAGGGAAGAUGAAAAGUUCAGUCAAUUUACAUGUCACCACUGAGUUAUACGUUCCAGGAAAGACGAAAGGUUCGAUAGAAUUACAUUACGGUUGAGUUAUAUGCUUAAGGGAGAACGAAACGUUCAGUCAAUUUACAUGUCACGGCUGAGUUAUAUGUUCCAGGGAAGACGAAAGGUUCGGUAAAAUUACAUUACGGAUGAGUUAUAUGUUUAAGGGAAGACAUCUAUAAAUUUACAUGUCACGGCUGAGUUAUAUGUUCAAGGGCAAACGAAAGAUGAGUGUAAAUUAUAUGUUACGGCUGAGUUAUAUGCUUCAAGGAAGACGAAAGGUUCGGUAAAUUACAUGUCACGGCUGAGUUAUCAUUCAGGGAAGACGAAAGGUUGUGUAAAUUAUAUGUUACGGCUGAGGUACAUCACGUUAAGGCUGAGUUAUAAUACAGAUCGGAAAACAACAUUUUUCUGGGGAAGACAAUAUGAAAUUUAUUGGCCAAAGAACAACAAUCAAAUUAAGAAACGUAAGAAUAUGUUUGAGGGAUACAUAGGAGGAAGACGAAACUAUAUGAAUCAAAACAUUGAUAGAAGUAGAAAUAUCUCUAAAUAGAUCGAUUGAGAGGAAAACUAAACGAGAGACAUAUAAAAUCAAAGUAAAAGAGUAGUUAUUCUUGAUUCAACUCAAACCUGUAACAAAUCAUAUAAAAUUCUAUAGAUCUCUUUGAUUUGGGUUUUGAUUUUUGAUGACUUGAAAUUCGACAUCACCGAAAGAGUUUCGGCCGAAGAAACGAGAUAAGUAGAGAACGACGACGAAAUUAGGGUUCCGUCGACUGAACGAGAGAAGAGAGCAACAAAUUUUUUUUU
Molecule: small RNA, 893 nt
Filed under: Arabidopsis thaliana (thale cress)
Lineage: Eukaryota; Viridiplantae; Streptophyta; Magnoliopsida; Brassicales; Brassicaceae
Description: ATSL092360
Source: RNAcentral